RNAcentral lists this ribosomal RNA (253 nucleotides) under uncultured bacterium. RNAcentral describes it as "partial 16S ribosomal RNA". It matches the Rfam family "Bacterial small subunit ribosomal RNA", at positions 524 to 776 of the family's 1533-position model. The record is from RNAcentral.
UACGAAGGGGGCUAGCGUUGUUCGGAAUUACUGGGCGUAAAGCGAACGUAGGCGGUGUUCCAUGUCAGAGGUGAAAGCCUAGGGCUCAACUCCAGAAUUGCCUUUGAAACGGGAACGCUUGAGUCCGAGAGAGGGUGGCGGAAUUCCUAGUGUAGAGGUGAAAUUCAUAGAUAUUAGGAAGAACACCAGUGGCGAAGGCGGCCACCUGGCUCGGUACUGACGCUCAGGUUCGAAAGCGUGGGGAGCAAACAGG